Molecule: ribosomal RNA, 471 nt
Filed under: uncultured bacterium
Lineage: Bacteria
Description: bacterial SSU rRNA
Rfam family: Bacterial small subunit ribosomal RNA
Source: RNAcentral
GANACGCUGGCGGCGUGCCUAACACAUGCAAGUCGAGCGGAGACAUGGGAGGAGCUUGCUCCAAGAUUGUUUUAGCGGCGGACGGGUGAGUAACGCGUGAGCAACCUUUCCUCUACUGGGGAAUAACACAUCGAAAGGUGUACUAAUACCGCAUGAGACCACGGUACCGCAUGGUAUAGGGGUCAAAGAUUUAUUGGUAGAGGGUGGGCUCGCGUCUGAUUAGGUAGUUGGUAGGGUAACGGCCUACCAAGCCGACGAUCAGUAGCCGGACUGAGAGGUUGAACGGCCACAUUGGAACUGAGAUACGGUCCAGACUCCUACGGGAGGCAGCAGUGGGGAAUAUUGGGCAAUGGGCGAAAGCCUGACCCAGCGACGCCGCGUGAGGGAAGAAGGUCUUCGGAUUGUAAACCUUUGUUGACAGGGACGAAGAAAGUGACGGUACCUGUCGAGGAAGCCACGGCUAACUACGUG